Molecule: long non-coding RNA, 234 nt
Organism: Pipistrellus kuhlii (Kuhl's pipistrelle)
Lineage: Eukaryota; Metazoa; Chordata; Mammalia; Chiroptera; Vespertilionidae
Exons: 3
Source: RefSeq, a predicted model, not a curated record
UUUGAAAAAAUGGCAUAUGCCUGGUUUUAGGAAGCGGCUAUAGGGUUAAGCCUUGGACUUACCUGUUGGUAAAGCCACAAACAAGUUCCAGCUUAGAGGACACAGCCCUCUUAGCAUAAUUAAGCUUGACUUUAUGAAGCUCCCUAGAUCCUCCCUGGAUAGCUAAUGGGCUGUGGGAGAUGCAGCAAAUGCUACCAAAACAAGUGAAACUCACAAGAACAUUGUAACUAUGGU